Long non-coding RNA from Mauremys mutica (yellowpond turtle), 319 nucleotides. RefSeq lists it as uncharacterized. The transcript has 3 exons. The record is from RefSeq and is a predicted model, not a curated record. Lineage: Eukaryota; Metazoa; Chordata; Testudines; Geoemydidae.
CUCAAGAAGGCUUUGGCUUAGUUCAGCUGCUCACCCGUGCAUGGUCUUCAUCCCAGGUUCUUUGAUCCAUGGAAGGUGCAAGGCUUAAGUUAGUCAAGAGAACAUCUCCAACACCCUGGAGGAGAUGGAGUCACGCUCAAGUCCUGACACUUUCUGGGCUGGGACAGAACAAGAGGAGGACAGAGUCUUCUUAUCAUGGACUAUCCGGAGAUCCUGCAACCCCCCUCAGUUUGACAGGAAUAUAUUAAGGAGCAAAUUGAGAGCAGCUUCCUGCAGUCAAGAAGCAUAUUCGCUCACAGUUCAUUUAUCUCUGUCUGUA